RNAcentral lists this ribosomal RNA (292 nucleotides) under uncultured bacterium. RNAcentral's name for it is "partial 16S ribosomal RNA". It matches the Rfam family "Bacterial small subunit ribosomal RNA", at positions 505 to 796 of the family's 1533-position model. The record is from RNAcentral.
GUGCCAGCAGCCGCGGUAAUACGAAGGGUGCGAGCGUUAUUCGGAAUCACUGGGCGUAAAGGGUGCGUAGACGGUAUGUUAAGUUUGUUGUUAAAGGCUCCGGCCUAACCGGAGUAUUGCGAUGAAAACUGGCAAGCUAGAGGGUGAGAGAGAGAAGUGGAAUUCCCGGAGUAGCGGUAAAAUGCGUGGAUCUCGGGAGGAACACCAAUGGCGAAGGCAGCUUCUUGGCUCAUUCCUGACGUUGAGGCACGAAAGCGUGGGGAGCAAACAGGAUUAGAUACCCUUGUAGUCC